Molecule: ribosomal RNA, 419 nt
Filed under: uncultured bacterium
Lineage: Bacteria
Description: partial 16S ribosomal RNA
Rfam family: Bacterial small subunit ribosomal RNA
Source: RNAcentral
GUAUUGGACAAUGGGUGCAACUCUGAUCCAGCCAUGCCGCUUGUGUGAAGAAGGUCUUCGUAUUGUAAAGCACUUUAAGAGGGGAGAAUGGGCUUUAGGCUAAUAGCCUGCAGUUUUGACGUUACCAACAGAUUGAUCUUCGGCAAACUGUGAGCUAGCAGCCGCGGCAAUACAGAGGGUGCAAGCGUUAAUCGGAAUUACUGGGCGUAAAGCGCGCGUAGGUGGUUCAGUAAGAUGGGUGUGAAAUCCCCGGGCUUAACCUGGAACUGCUUUCAUAACUGCUGAGCUAGAGUACGGUAGAGGGUAGUGGAAUUUCCUGUGUAGCGGUGAAAUGCGUAGAUAUAGGAAGGAACACCAGUGGCGAAGGCGACUACCUGGACUGAUACUGACACUGAGGUGCGAAAGCGUGGGGAGCAAAC